Molecule: long non-coding RNA, 480 nt
Filed under: Ananas comosus (pineapple)
Lineage: Eukaryota; Viridiplantae; Streptophyta; Magnoliopsida; Poales; Bromeliaceae
Description: long non-coding RNA (ACOM_LNC044369)
Source: RNAcentral
UUAUUAUUUUAUGAUAGUAUAGCAACGAGAAUAAUUUGUCGCAAAUUCAAUAACAAGUAAUUAAUUCAACGAAUAUUGUGCGACAAAAAAUAUGGUCGCAAAUUUAUCUAUCAAUAUAUACCAGCAAUCAUAUAUUAGCGACGAACAGUUUAAUCGCAGUUUCAACAAUCAAUCUAUAAGCAAUAUCUAUCCAUUAUUUAUAUGACAAUUUUUCACAUUUUACAAUUCAAAUUAUCACCAAACAUCAUAAUAAAUUAACAAACAAACCAAAAUAUAUUUCUAAUUCAAAGUAUCUUUAAAAUCCAAACAAACAAAAUAUUUUCAACUAAGAAUCUUUCUAGAAUAGUUAAUCUCGAUUAAUCAUUCCAAUACAUGAUCACUAAUAGUUUUUCAACAAAAACACCAACAUUCCAUUUUAAGAAAUUUUUGUAGUUGGCUUGCUCUGAUGUAGUCCUGUAAGGACUGAGAUUUUUGCAGUGU